Molecule: unclassified non-coding RNA, 401 nt
Filed under: soil metagenome
Description: partial contains 5.8S ribosomal RNA, internal transcribed spacer 2, and large subunit ribosomal RNA
Rfam family: 5.8S ribosomal RNA (bases 1-121)
Source: RNAcentral
GAUGAAGAACGCAGCGAAAUGCGAUAAGUAAUGUGAAUUGCAGAAUUCAGUGAAUCAUCGAAUCUUUGAACGCACCUUGCGCCCUUUGGCUAUUCCGAAGGGCAUGCCUGUUUGAGUAUCGUGAACACCUCAACUCUCAUGGUUUGCCAUGAUGAGCUUGGACUUGGGGGUUUUGCUGGCCUUCGGUCGGCUCCUCUCAAACGGAUCAGCUUUCCAGUGUUUGGUGGCGUCACGGGUGUGAUAACUAUAUACGCCUGUGGUUUUCUGCCAGAUAACCUUCAGCGAUGGAGGUUCGCUGGGGCUCAUAAAUGUCUCUCUUCAGUGGAGACAGCUUUUUGGACGUUUGAUCUCAAAUCAGGUAGGACUACCCGCUGAACUUAAGCAUAUCAAUAAGCGGAGGA